Molecule: transfer RNA, 68 nt
Filed under: Lottia goshimai
Lineage: Eukaryota; Metazoa; Mollusca; Gastropoda; Lottiidae
Description: tRNA-Phe
Source: RNAcentral
UGAUAGGUGACCGAGUUAUAGGUGGAGGGCUGAAGACCCUUUUACGGCGAUAAUAUCGCCCCUUUCAA